Long non-coding RNA from Oreochromis niloticus (Nile tilapia), 334 nucleotides. RefSeq lists it as uncharacterized. The transcript is spliced from 2 exons. Lineage: Eukaryota; Metazoa; Chordata; Actinopteri; Cichliformes; Cichlidae. The record is from RefSeq and is a predicted model, not a curated record.
CUGACCACACCUGUUGUUGAUCGGAGCCGACCAGCUGUAACUAAUUAACCGCCAUCUCCCGGGCUGCCUUCUUAACAGGGCGAUCGAGCUUCAGUCAGCGCUGGAUCAUUGUGUGAAGCACGGUGGAAAACGGAGAGAGAAGAUCACGGGAGCUGGACUGCCUUUUGGGAUUUCUGUUGGAAGGAGUCACUACGUGUGUUUUCACUUCAUGGCCACGAGCACUGCUAGGAGGAGAAGGAGGAGACCACACCGGGGGACCCCGUCACUACACAUAUAUUUAUUGAACUGCUGCACCUUUACCGCACUGUAAAUAAAUCCACUGUCUUUUCCCUAA